GACGGAGGAUGCAAGUGUUAUCCGGAAUCACUGGGCGUAAAGCGUCUGUAGGUGGUUUAAUAAGUCAACUGUUAAAUCUUGAGGCUCAACCUCAAAAUCGCAGUCGAAACUAUUAGGCUAGAGUAUAGUAGGGGUAAAGGGAAUUUCCAGUGGAGCGGUGAAAUGCGUAGAGAUUGGAAAGAACACCGAUGGCAAAGGCACUUUACUGGGCUAUUACUAACACUCAGAGACGAAAGCUAGGGUAGCAAAUGGG
This 253-nucleotide ribosomal RNA is filed under the name uncultured bacterium. RNAcentral describes it as "partial 16S ribosomal RNA". It matches the Rfam family "Bacterial small subunit ribosomal RNA", at positions 524 to 776 of the family's 1533-position model. The record is from RNAcentral.